UGCUGGGGGAGGAUUCACAUCAGAUUGCGUGUUAUCUAGUCUUAUUAGAUCAGAGUUUUCACCGAACAACUGAAGAAAAUGUUUCACAUGUUUGUUUUGUUCUGUUUGUGUUGGUGGCGUCUGAUUGCUUCACAUUUUCCAGGUGUGUUUGGUGAGUCAGUAUCUAUGAUGGAGGGAGAAUCAAUCGCUCUAAACUCUGAUGUUACUAAAAUACGUGACGAUGAAGACUUACUGUGGAAAUUUGGAGCUGAAAAGACCCUGAUAGCUGAAAUCAGUAAAGCUGCUGGAAUCUCCUCCACAUAUAAUGGUACUGAUGGGAGAUUCAGAGACAGACUGAAGCUGGACGAUCAAACUGGAUCUCUGACCAUCACAGACAUCACAACUGAACACGCUGGAGUUUACGAACUACUGAUAAGUGGAGCAAAACGGUUGUUAAAAACAUUUAAUGUUUCAGUUUAUGCUCAUCUGUUCACACCUAACAUUACUAGAGAAACUUCACAAUGUUCUUCAUCUUCGUCAUCUUCACAGCAGAAUUGUUCAUUGGUGUGUUCAGUGGUGAAUGUGGGUCAUGUGACUCUCUCCUGGUACAAAGGAAACAGUUUAUUGUC
Cyprinus carpio (common carp) is the source of this 608-nucleotide long non-coding RNA. RefSeq lists it as uncharacterized. Lineage: Eukaryota; Metazoa; Chordata; Actinopteri; Cypriniformes; Cyprinidae. The record is from RefSeq and is a predicted model, not a curated record. The transcript has 3 exons.